UACGUAGGGGCUAGGCGUUGUCCGGAAUCAUUGGCGUAAAGCGCGUGUAGGCGGUCCGGUAAGUCCGCUGUGAAAGUCGGGGGCUCAACCCUCGAAUGCCGGUGGAUACUGUCGGGCUUGAGUACGGAAGAGGCGAGUGGAAUUCCUGGUGUAGCGGUGAAAUGCGCAGAUAUCAGGAGGAACACCAAUUGCGAAGGCAGCUCGCUGGGACGUUACUGACGCUGAGACGCGAAAGCGUGGGGAGCAAACGGG
Molecule: ribosomal RNA, 252 nt
Filed under: uncultured bacterium
Lineage: Bacteria
Description: partial 16S ribosomal RNA
Rfam family: Bacterial small subunit ribosomal RNA
Source: RNAcentral